UACGUAGGGUGCAAGCGUUAAUCGGAAUUACUGGGCGUAAAGCGUGCGCAGGCGGUUUUGUAAGUCUGAUGUGAAAUCCCCGGGCUCAACCUGGGAAUUGCGAUGGAGACUGCAAGGCUUGAAUCUGGCAGAGGGGGGUAGAAUUCCACGUGUAGCAGUGAAAUGCGUAGAGAUGUGGAGGAACACCGAUGGCGAAGGCAGCCCCCUGGGUCAAGAUUGACGCUCAUGUACGAAAGCGUGGGGAGCGAACAGG
Molecule: ribosomal RNA, 253 nt
Filed under: uncultured bacterium
Lineage: Bacteria
Description: partial 16S ribosomal RNA
Rfam family: Bacterial small subunit ribosomal RNA
Source: RNAcentral